UUUUUCACCGUUUCUUCUCCGUUUUCGCCCGUUUUCGCUCGUUUGACCUCCGAUUCGUUUCAAAUCGAACCGAGACUCUUCAAACAUGUUUUCGAGCAUGUUUUCAUCAUCUUUUCAUCCACGCUAAUGCCGGAUUUAGCUCACGGCCCAACAUGGCCUUUCGGCUCCGUUUUAGCGCCUACGCGCACCGAAACGCCCGAAUGCUUCCGGACCUCACCGAACUUCACCGGAACCUUUCAAAUGG
This 244-nucleotide long non-coding RNA is filed under the name Ananas comosus (pineapple). RNAcentral describes it as "long non-coding RNA (ACOM_LNC033213)". The record is from RNAcentral. Lineage: Eukaryota; Viridiplantae; Streptophyta; Magnoliopsida; Poales; Bromeliaceae.